GUGGGGAAUAUUGGACAAUGGGCGAAAGCCUGAUCCAGCCAUGCCGCGUGUGUGAAGAAGGUCUUCGGAUUGUAAAGCACUUUAAGUUGGGAGGAAGGGCAGUAAGUUAAUACCUUGCUGUUUUGACGUUACCGACAGAAUAAGCACCGGCUAACUUCGUGCCAGCAGCCGCGGUAAUACGAAGGGUGCAAGCGUUAAUCGGAAUUACUGGGCGUAACGCGCGCGUAGGUGGUUUUGUAAGUUGGAGGUGAAAUCCCCGGGCUCAACCUGGGACCUGCCUCCAAAACUGCAUGACUAGAGUACGGUAGAGGGUAGUGGAAUUUCCUGUGUAGCGGUGAAAUGCGUAGAUAUAGGAAGGAACACCAGUGGCGAAGGCGACUACCUGGACUGAUACUGACACUGAGGUGCGAAAGCGUGGGGAGCAAACAGGAUUAGAAACCCUGGUAGUCC
RNAcentral lists this ribosomal RNA (450 nucleotides) under uncultured bacterium. RNAcentral's name for it is "partial 16S ribosomal RNA". It matches the Rfam family "Bacterial small subunit ribosomal RNA", at positions 354 to 796 of the family's 1533-position model. The record is from RNAcentral.